This 361-nucleotide small RNA is filed under the name Pan troglodytes (chimpanzee). RNAcentral describes it as "processed transcript". The record is from RNAcentral. Lineage: Eukaryota; Metazoa; Chordata; Mammalia; Primates; Hominidae.
GGCCGGAGCCGGGUGAGGCCGCGGAGAACGCACCCCGCUACGCGUCUGCCGAGACGGAGGCGGGCGUUUCGACCACUGCCCGAUCAUGCGCUUACUCAACUCCACCCACACUGGCCUGGACCCAGUCUCUAAGGGCUGAAAAUAUUGCCCGGAGGCUCCCGAGCAGAAUCAGAUCGCGCUAAGUAGGGCACAACGCAGAGGCGACAAAGCUCCUCGGCCCCAGGGCCCGCGGAGCAGACUCCGGAGCACGGUCCCGCCCACGCUCGGCUCCGCAGUUAGCGUCCUCCCUCCUCCUGAGCAGAAAGAAACUCAUUCUGUGUUUCUGAGAAAGGAUCGUGCCAGGCACUGUUUCUGGUGAGUG